Molecule: long non-coding RNA, 989 nt
Filed under: Anser cygnoides (Swan goose)
Lineage: Eukaryota; Metazoa; Chordata; Aves; Anseriformes; Anatidae
Description: lncRNA (ENSACDG00005006011.1)
Source: RNAcentral
CCUUGAGGUUUCCACUUGCUUUCCAGAGACUGUUCCUCUGGGCUGGACAUGACUUUUGUGAACCUGUUAUCUUAUUCUACCCUAAUUCAGCAAUCAUGUAUUUCUUUUCCUCCCAUUGUGUUCAUAGUUACACCUAAAUGUUCACCCUGUGCUUCAUUGGGGCAGCAAUAGAUGAGAGACAACCUACAAGUACCAUACUGCAGCAGAGGAAGUUCUAGCUCCCUUUAGAAAAGCACGGAAGGCCUCCACCUUCUUAUUUAACAGUGCAUCACCUACUCUGGAUCUCAGACUCAAUGUAAGAACUCCUUAAGCAGUGUUUGAGGAUGGUUACUACUAAUUCAGUAACUAAUAUCAUGUAAUCAGUCUCUAAAGUCAAGACUGAGGCUACUGAUGUCAGUAACAGAUCAUUCAUUCAUUCAUUCAUUUUAGAGUUACUGAAUCAAUGUGGUUGGUAUUUAGCUUGCGGAGGUGAAAAAGCUAACUCAGCCUUCAUAUACAGUGUUAACUGGGAUUCUAACCAGGAUCCCUUGUUUCAUAUUGCAUUAGUGAUUGAUUCCAGGGAAAUACUCUUGACUCUUUUGACUCUCUUGACUCUUUUCCUAUUCUUCUCAGUUAAAGGUGGCCAUAUGAGUUGACACAAAUGGAAGAAUCGAAGAGAGGUUGUGAGUACAUGUCUUCUGGAAGUUACUUUCUCCACUUACCACUUCUGGUGCCAGGCAGCCUACCAUCCCCUCUGCUGCUGUUUACUACCACCAUUCAGAAGUGUUCUUCAAACUACAUCUUUUGAGCCUGGUAGCAUUUGUAUCAAAUUCACCUGGAGCUUCUAUUGUCCUAGAAGCUGACUGAAAUGUGGGUCAAGUCUGACAUCAAGUGGUCAGAUGCACGCUGUUCCCAAUGGGACAAUUACAGUGCCUCUCCUCCUGUCUUAUGAAGAACCUCCACCUCCACUUUUUCUCUCCAUGUUUUUUCUUCUUAACAUGAUUUCUUAG